RNAcentral lists this unclassified non-coding RNA (349 nucleotides) under soil metagenome. RNAcentral describes it as "partial contains 5.8S ribosomal RNA, internal transcribed spacer 2, and large subunit ribosomal RNA". The stretch from base 1 to 120 matches the Rfam family "5.8S ribosomal RNA", at positions 35 to 154 of the family's 154-position model. The record is from RNAcentral.
GAUGAAGAACGUAGCGAAAUGCGAUAAGUAAUGUGAAUUGCAGAAUUCAGUGAAUCAUCGAAUCUUUGAACGCACAUUGCGCCCGACAGUAUUCUGGCGGGCAUGCCUGUCCGAGCGUCAUUUCAACCCUCGAACCCCUCCGGGGGGUCGGCGUUGGGGAUCGGCCCCUCACCGGGCCGCCCCCGAAAUCCAGUGGCGGUCUCGCCGCAGCCUCUCCUGCGCAGUAGUUUGCACACUCGCACCGGGAGCGCGGCGCGGCCACAGCCGUAAAACACCCCAAACUCUGAAAUGUUGACCUCGGAUCAGGUAGGAAUACCCGCUGAACUUAAGCAUAUCAAUAAGCGGAGGA